CCACACGAAAAAUGAAGCUUUAGGGUCGGGACUUUCAUGUUUGGUACACAGCAUUCGACACUAGAAAUUCUUCUCUAAUCCUGUAAAGUGUGGUCCAAUUUGUGCAUAUCAAACAUAAAGCUCGCCGAAUGAAUCAAAGGAAGAAGAUGUUAAUGCUAGGAAAACAUAAUUUGAUAGAUUCAUUUAUAGAACUCCCUGAUAACUGAUUGAAUCUUCUUACACUAUUUAGUCAUUCUUUGGUGAAUCCAAGAAAACCAUAGUGCUAGAAUGUUGAUGUUAAAAGUUUAUAUUGAUCCCAUCAGGCAAUAUCAUCAGGAUGGCUGCACAAAUGAACCCUAAGGAUCAAUUUUCCAAGCUACAUCCGGGCUUCCCUGUGAAAACGAGAAUCGCAAUAGUAGGAGGUGGUCCUAGUGGAUUAUCAGCUGCCUACGCGCUGUGUAAACUCGGUUAUAAUAAUGUAACCGUGCUGGAGAAACAUCACACAGUCAGUGGAAUGUGUUUAUCUGUUGAUAUAGAAGGAAAGAUUUAUGAUCUUGGUGGACAAGUCCUUGCAGCCAGUAGCUCUCCCACAAUCUUUCACUUGGCAAAUGAAGCUGGUUCGGAAUUGGAAGAAAUGGAUUCCCACAAACUUGCAUUAAUUGAUAGUUUCACAGGGAAGUAUGAGGACAUCCAGGUUGCAGAUGACUAUGUUUCUGCAGUCUCGCUCACAUUAGAUCUCCAGGUCAGUUUCUUUUGCUGUUAGUAGAUGAUCUGUCUCUUAUUCUCAGUACUCAGUUCACACAGAGAGAAGCUAAAAUCAUAAUGUUCGGUUCACAGGAUAAAGCGAAGACGUCAGGUCGAAUUGGAGUUCACGCCAUAAGUGACUUAGCUUAUGAUUCAACACCUGCAUUUCUUGAGGAUCAUGGAUUCAGUUCUGUUCCAAAAUCUGUAGCUUAUGGAUAUACAGCUUCCGGAUAUGGAUUUGUUCAAGAUAUGCCAUAUGCUUACAUUCAUGAAUUCACCAGAACAUCUAUGGCCGGUAAAAUUAGACGUUUCAAAGGUGGAUACAUGAGUAUGUGGCAAAAAAUUAGUGAAUCCCUCCCCAUAGAAGUCCUCUGCAACACAGAAGUAGUAGCAAUCAGGCGCAACUCAUCAGGUGUCAACAUUAAAGUCAAACAGAAUGACGGAAACUUGAUAACUAGGGAAUUCGAUAAAGUCAUAAUAUCUGGAUCAUUUCCCUUCAAGAAUGGGAGAACAUAUAGAUCACCGUCAUUGUUGGAAGAAGGUUUGAGAUUUUACUCAUUUUGCUGCUUCCAUCUAGCUUUAAACUGUGUUUAGUAGCUAAACAAUAAAUUUUAUCUUACAGAUGCUGAUGAUGAAAUCCUGGAUUUCAGUGAACUUGAAAAGGAAUUGUUUAGGAAAGUGCAGACUAUUGACUACUACACAACUGUCAUGAAGAUUAAGGGUCUGGAACAUCUGCCGGUCGGGUUCUUUUACUUUGGGGAGUUCAUGGAUGAUCCUGAAACUAUAGGAAAUCCGGUGGCUCUGCAGAAAUUCUAUUCUGAUACCAAUAUCUUCCUAUUCUGGUCAUAUGGCAACUCAGCCAAUGUCAGAGGACAAGAAGUCACUCAGCUAGCAAUUGAUGCAGUCAAAAGAAUGGGGGGAGAAAUUGAAAUGGUAAUUCUACAACAGAGAUUCAAAUAUUUCCCUCAUGUUGAAAGCCAAGGUAGAGUCCACAUCUUGAUGAGAUUCUGUUUUGCCUCCCAUAUUUACAGCUACUAAUUUCAUUCUACUUUAAUAUAGUUAUGAAAGGUGGGUUCUACGAGAAACUAGAAACUGAACUUCAAGGCCAGCAGAAUACUUACUACAUAGGUGGACUCAUGGCAUUUGAGCUUACGGAGAGGAAUUCAUCCUACGCUAUGGGGUUGGUUUGCAAGCACUUUGCAACUGAUGAAUUAAUUCCAAGGUUUCCUUAUGUAAAGGUACUUGAUACUGUCAAUUCUUAAAGAUCAAACUCAGAUUACAGAAUAAAUGCUUAUUUACUUACUUGACCUUCAUUUCUGUAGAGAUUGUUUACACUGAAGUCAGAGUGCCGGGAUAAGAUCCCUAGAGAGCUUGAUGAAUCUAAGGGAUUAGAAUUUCCAGAUCUAUCCAGCCUUGAUUGCUAUUUGAAAUACUGGGGAAAUCAUAACAUCAGUUGCAACAAAAUCCUUUAUAGAUGGAUAAAUGAUGAAGGAGAAGUGAUGGGCCAAAGAACUUUUGGAGAACUUCAUGCUAAUGCUGCUUGCAUUGCUGAGAAGCUAUUGUCUAGCAGAAAACCAGUCAUCAAUCCAGGUGACAGGGUCCUUCUUGUUCAUGUCCCAGGUCUGGAUUUUAUUGAUGCCUUUUUUGGGUGUUUAAGAGCCAGAGUAUUGCCAGUCCCAGCUCUUCCCCCUGAUCCACUUCAAAGAGGUGGACAAGCACUUUUGAAGAUAGAGAAUAUUGCAAAAUCAUGCAAGGCGGUGGCAAUUCUCUCCACCGUAGGUUAUCAAUUAGCUGUUAGAGCAGGCUCCGUGAAGAAUUUGAUAUCGUUGCCCAAUAAAAAUGGAAAGGGCUCGGGUCGCUGGCCUAAUCUUCCUUGGUUACACACUGAUUCUUGGGUGAAAAACUCCAAAGAUGCGCCUUCAGUAAGUAUAGAUUGUAAUUCAGUGCCACGUGCUGAUGAACUAUGCUUUCUCCAAUUCACAUCAGGAUCAACUGGAGACGCAAAAGGUGUUGUUAUAACUCAUAGUGGGCUAAUUCAUAAUGUGAAGCUAAUGCAAAGGAGAUACCAUAGCACAUCAAACACAGUACUUAUCAGCUGGCUCCCCCAAUACCAUGACAUGGGACUGAUUGGUGGGCUUUUCACAGCUCUGGUUAGUGGUGGAACUGCUAUCUUGUUCUCCCCGAUGACAUUCAUUAAGAACCCUCUCCUGUGGCUUGAAACUAUCAGCAAGUACAGGGGAACUCAUAGUGCAGGCCCCAACUUCUCUUUUGAACUUGUAGUACGAAGGUUGGAGGUUGAGAAGAAUAAGAUUCGGAAGUAUGACCUUUCCUCCAUGAUUUUUCUGAUGAUUGCUGCUGAACCAGUAAGGCAGAAAACUCUAAAAAGAUUCAUUGAGCUAACAAGUCCUUAUGGCCUUUCCCAAUAUGUGAUGGCUCCUGGCUAUGGAUUGGCAGAAAACUGUGUGUUUGUCAGUUGCGCUUAUGGGGAAGGAAAACCUAUUGUGGUGGAUUGGCAAGGAAGGGUAUGUUGUGGGUAUGUAAAUCCAAACGAUACAGAUGUAAACAUUAGAAUAGUGGAUCCAGAAACUGGUGAAGAGCAGAAAGAAUCUGGAAAGGAAGGAGAAAUAUGGAUUAGUAGUCCAAGUGCAGGAAUUGGGUACUGGGGCAGGGAGGAACUCAGUGAAAGCACUUUUAGGAAUAAGCUUGAGAAUCAUCCCGGUGCAAGCUACACAAGAACUGGGGAUCUAGGACGAAUAAUUAACGGGAAUUUGUUCAUUACUGGAAGAAUCAAGGAUCUUAUAAUAGUUGCAGGAAGAAAUAUCUAUUCGGCUGAUGUAGAGAAGACUGUUGAGAGCUCAUGUGAACUGCUGCGCCCUGGUUGCUGUGCUGUCAUUGGGGUUCCUGAGGAUAUAUUAUCGGCAAAAGGGAUACCAAUAUCAGAUACGUCUGAUCAGGUGGGGUUGGUAGUGAUUGCAGAAACUAGAGAUGGUAAACCAGCAAGUAAAGACGAUUUUGAGAAAAUAAAGGCCAAGGUUGCAGAAGAACACGGUGUGAAUUUGGCUUCUGUUAAGUUGAUUAAACCAAGAACUAUCAGCAAGACAACAUCUGGAAAAAUCAAAAGGUUUGAAUGCCUCAAACAAUUCACUGAUGAGACACUGAAUUUGGUACCAGAACCAAAGAUCCCAAAGAGAUUACUUUUACGGUCCAAUACUACAGGAACAUGUAGGGAUGGUCAUACUCCUCGAAAGCAUCUGAAGACAAAUCUACCUUCACCAGGUACAAAAUUAGGUGGCAGAGAAAUUGUGGAGUUUUUAAAGGAACUUAUCUCUGAGCAAACUGGUAUUCCAGUCAGUAAGAUCUCCACAACUGCAAACCUUACAUCUUAUGGCAUCGAUUCCAUAGGGGUGGUCAGAGCAGCUCAAAAGCUUUCGGAUUAUCUUGGGGUGCCAGUUGGGGCAGUUGAUAUUUUCACAGCAACCAGCAUUGAAGAUUUGGCUAGCUUCUCAGAAGAUAUUGUCACGAAAUCUCAGCCUCAAGACAUGAGAAUUUCUGCAUCUCUUCCAGAACCUGAGGUUAAUUUUUCUGAGUUACUGACUGAAGUUUCCUUAUCUCACCAAUUGGGUAUCAUGUCAUUGCAAUUUCUUGCCCUCAUAUAUGUCUCCAUCUUGCUGAUCCUUCCUGCAUAUUUAUCAAUAUCUGUAUUUCUGAAGAUGAUUUCUGCCUCUCAUAAUUUGAUAAAUGGAACUCCAUGGGCACCUUACAUGCUUUCCCUGGCAUUUGCACCUCUUGCAUGGAUCCUCUGCAUAUUUUCUACAUGCAGUUGUAUUGCUCUUUUCGGGAAUUCAUUCCUUCAACCGAACUAUGCCUUAAUUCCUGAAAUUUCCAUAUGGUCAUUGGAUUACGUCAAGUGGUGGACACUAUACAAAGCUCAAGAGGUUUCAUCAAAAGUUCUGGCCGUGCAUUUGAAAGGAACAGUGUUACUGAAUUACUGGUUUCAGAUGUUUGGAGCUAAGAUAGGAUCAUGUGUUGUACUUGAUACUGUUGAUAUCACUGAUCCAGCUCUAGUUUCUAUUGGAGAUGGAGUGGUAAUUGCAGAGGGAGUAUUAAUCCAAGGCCAUGAAAUGAGGAAUGGAAUCUUGAGCUUCCAUCCAAUUAGAAUUGGAAAAAGUUCUUCAAUUGCUCCUUAUGCUGCAAUCCAAAGAGGAAGCGUGCUGGGAGAAGGAACUGAAGUACCUGCUUUGCAAAUCACUGAUGAAGGAAAACCCAUUUCAAAAUCCAAGGCUAAUAACAUUCAGAAGGUAAACUCUAAUUGUCCCUGUCACAUAUGCAAUACCCAGUCAUUAAAGAUAUCUUUCAUUCUAAGAAUUUAAAUGUCUAGUUCCAUAUCAAAUACAUACACCACAAUGUAUUUCUUCUUCCUAUGACUAUAAAAUAACCUUGUCAAACAACUCACCCUCGGUCUUUUUUCAUCUGGGUGCAUUAUCCUAUUAGCAAUGAAAAAUUUCUAUAAUAAUUUGAAGCACAACAUUUGAUUAUCAAUGGGAAAAAUAGUUUAACAAUCUUAAGAUUGAAAUUGAUUACCAGUUACUUUACUCCACUGUGGGUGACAGGUUAUGGAACUUUCGAAGGUGAUAGGUGACACUCAAUAUCAGACUAUUCACCAUCUCAUGGGUGUCUAUCUUGUUGGAUUCAUAAGCAGUCUCUCGGCAGCCAUCUUUUACUGCAUCUAUUUGCUGCUGACUCAAAAGUCUCCUACCAUUGAACACUUCAAUUUUUUGUGUGUAUUUGGAGCUUUCCACUGGCUCCCUUUCACUAUCUUUGCAUAUGUCACCAUGAUUGGAUCCACAUCUUUAGGUCCAUUGAGCUUUGCCAUGUCAGUUGCCACUGCAUACUUAGCUCACGGCUUGAUACUCAGUUUGAUUACCUGCUUGAUGAACCAUUCCAUGUCCAGAAAUCAAGGAACAAAACAAACAUACCUGAGAAUGUGGCUUCGUCACAGAAUUAACAUAUCGUGCCAUCUUAGAUUUACAAAGCUCCUUUCAGGAACUGAAGCGUUUUGCAUAUACCUGAGGCUACUGGGUGCCAAAGUCGGAAAGUAUUGUUCCAUUAGAGCCAUUAACCCUGUUUUAGAACCCAAACUGGUAUCAAUCGGUAAUGGUGUCCAUUUAGGUGACUUCAGCAGGAUUAUCACUGGUUUCUAUUCCUCCGAUGGUUUCAGAAGUGCAAAAGUUGAGGUACGGGAUAAUGUAGUACUUGGGAGCCAGAGCCUUGUCCUCCCUGGUUCUAUUAUUCAGGAGGAUGUAAUUAUUGGAGCGCUUUCAGUUGCUCCAGUCAAUUCAGUGCUCCAACAUGGUGGUGUCUAUAUUGGAUCUCAAAGUCCUAUCAUGAUAAAGAACACAAUGCAUGAGUUGGAUGAGCGUAUAGAAGAAAUGGACAUAAAGUAUAAGAAGAUUGUCGGAAAUCUGGCUGCGAAUUUGGCUGCAACAACUCUUAAGGUUAGAACAAGAUAUUUCCAUCGAAUUGGAGUGAGUGCAAAGGGAGUACUAAAAAUAUAUGACAACAUUGAAGGGUUUCCUGAUCACAAUAUUUUCCAGCCUGGGCAGAGUUACCCUGUUAUAGUUCGACACAGCAAUAGCUUGAGUGCCGAUGAUGAUGCAAGGAUUGAUGCUCGUGGAGCAGCCAUAAGAAUAUUUUCACAUAAAUCAGAUCACGAAUCCCCACUCCUGGACUUGACUCUGAAAACAGGCAAGGCAUUUUAUGCCCGUACAAUUUCUGAUUUUGCAACGUGGCUUGUGUGUGGGCUACCAGCAAGAGAAGAACAUGUGAAGCGUGCCCCUCAUAUCCGAGAUGCAGUGUGGAUGUCCCUUCGCCAUGCAAACUCAUUUCCCGAACUUCAUUAUUAUUCAAAUAUAUGCAGACUCUUCAGAUUCACUGAUGGACAGGAGAUGUAUGUGAAAUUCAAGCUGCGACCUUCUGAUGAGACAAUUAGUGAAGACUCCGGUAAGGUUGAGCCCAUUGGAAUCCUUCCUCCAGAAACAGGUGCAAUUCCAAGGGACAAUAACGACAGGCGUCCUCUGCUUUUCCUUGCCGAAGAUUUUCAGACACGCGUGAGUUCCCCAGGCGGGGUUCGCUAUGUUUUCCAGCUUCAGUUCCGGCCUGUACCUCGUGAUGAAGGCACACAAGAUGUUGCACUCGAUUGCACCAAACCAUGGGAUGAGGAUGAGUUCCCAUUUGUAGACUUUGGGGAGAUUACCAUCAAUCAGAACAUGACAAAAGAACAAUCAGAGGAGCUGGAAUUUAAUCCCUUUCUGCAAUGCCAUGAGGUUGAUGUUAUCCGGGCAACAUCCGCCUCCCAAAGUGCAUCAAUUGACCAUGGUCGUUCAUUGAUAUAUGACAUUUGCCAGCAUUUGAGAAAUAACGAGCCACUUCCACAGGCCUGGAGAGCAUUCAUAGAGCAAUCAGAUGUCAAAGUAGACCUCUCAAGCUGCCCGGUUGCAGCAAUGUCAAAGAGAGGAAAUUCUAGUGAAGUGACUCUAGCAAGGACUUGGUUUCAAACUUCAUGGGCCAUCUACAUGCAACCCUUGCUUCAGACAUUUUUGCCUUACUUCCUCAUGGCAUAUGUAAUUUCUGGUCCUCUAAAUUGGAUACUAUCUGCUAAGGAGACCAUGAAAUAUCCACUGCAGUGGUUGCUUCCUUUCUUUUGGGUUUUAUCAGGCAUAUGGGCAGCACUGGCUUGUGUUGUAGCAAAAUGGAUUUUGGUUGGAAAGAAGAAAGAUGGUGGAACAGCACUUAUCUGGAGCAAAUCAAUUUUUAUGGAUACAGUAUGGCAAGCAUUUAAGACCUUGGUGGCGGACUAUUUCAUGGAUAUGACUGGUGGAUCAAUCUUCUUCGUGCUUUGGAUGAAACUCAUGGGUUCGGAUAUUAACUUAAGUGAAGGUGUUUAUGUAGAUAGCAUGGGAGCUGUCUUGAAUCCCGAAAUGGUAGAAAUAGAGAGAGGUGGAUGCGUAGGGAGAGAAGCUUUGCUUUUUGGACACAUAUAUGAAGGAGAAGGAGGGAAAGUCAAGUUUGGGAAGAUUAGAGUUGGAGAAGGUGGAUUUGUAGGGAGUAGAGCUGUUGCUAUGCCUGGAGUUAUAGUAGAGGAUGGUGGUAGUCUUAAUGCUCUAUCCCUUGCCAUGAAAGAAGAAGUUGUAAGAUCAAAGUCACACAAUUGAUGACUUCUCUUUUACAUAGAGAAGUUGAGCUGGUACUGGUCUAGCGAAUAAAUUAUCAGCCUUCGAAUACUAAUCAAUAAUAAUCUUUAUAGGAAUUUCUCUCUGUGUACAUAUGUGACAGUCCAAGUGUGCAGGUGCCCAUGCCAGUGCAUGUGCAGGCGUGUUUAGAUCCAACAAAAUAGAACACAAUUACAACGAAAAUCCUCCCUUUACAAUGUUGGUGGGAUCCUCCAAAGUGGACUUGAGAAUACAUGUAAACGAAAUAACAGCUAGAAAAUAGUAGACCGGAGCUAAAUUACAAUCUGCUUCACACCACAUUAUAAAUAUUGCUUUCCUUAAGACAUUAUUUGCCCCUAUUAAACCAUGAUGCACUCGAGAAUGAAAAUACACCAUCAAGAUUCAAUGAAGCCAUUAAUACGUGCAUGCAUUUUGCACACACGAAGACAACCCUAAUACCAAAGAAUAACAAAUUAUAUACUCGAAGUUCAUACUAUAAUCAUCAACUCUUUCUGACUCUUCUUUUUUACCCUCCACCAUAUGAACUAUUGUGGAUUGAUCUAUGUAUUCCUCAGAAUUAUUCUUUCUGAAUUCCUCCUCUAUACGGAGCUAGCUACCCUAAUCCUCAAUGGAUAUGUUAUCUUUCUGGUGCUUAAGACUCUUCUUAUAACGAAGAGUGUUUAUGAUGAUGAAAGAAACGACAAAUGAUUCAUCCAUAUUCAUAAUAUGUUGUUGAAACUGAUUACACACGUGCACAAUUUCAUGAAAUUGCUACAUUCCUUUCUACGAUCUACCAUCCUUUAUAGAUGAAUUUAGAGGCUAGAAGCUUCUUACCUGUGGCAUCUUCCGACAUAUAUUUGGCAUCGGAUACAUCUAAUAUCUCCUUUGCAGUUUCUUGCUAUGACAUUCGUCAUCAGAGUAUCAAACAUUGCGUUGCAAUUGUGCCCUU
RNAcentral lists this long non-coding RNA (8880 nucleotides) under Olea europaea (common olive). RNAcentral's name for it is "long non-coding RNA (OEUR_LNC007766)". The record is from RNAcentral. Lineage: Eukaryota; Viridiplantae; Streptophyta; Magnoliopsida; Lamiales; Oleaceae.